CCUACGGGCGGCUGCAGUGAGGAAUAUUGGUCAAUGGACGAGAGUCUGAACCAGCCAAGUAGCGUGAAGGAUGACUGCCCUAUGGGUUGUAAACUUCUUUUAUAUGGGAAUAAAACGUUCCACGUGUGGGAUUUUGUAUGUACCAUAUGAAUAAGGAUCGGCUAACUCCGUGCCAGCAGCCGCGGUAAUAAGGAGGAUCCGAGCGUUAUCCGGAUUUAUUGGGUUUAAAGGGAGCGUAGGUGGAUUGUUAAGUCAGUUGUGAAAGUUUGCGGCUCAACCGUAAAAUUGCAGUUGAAACUGGCAGUCUUGAGUACAGUAGAGGUGGGCGGAAUUCGUGGUGUAGCGGUGAAAUGCUUAGAUAUCACGAAGAACUCCGAUUGCGAAGGCAGUUCACUGGACUGCAACUGACACUGAGGCUCGAAAGUGUGGGUAUCAAACAGGAUUAGAUACCCGGGUAGUC
RNAcentral lists this ribosomal RNA (460 nucleotides) under uncultured bacterium. RNAcentral's name for it is "partial 16S ribosomal RNA". It matches the Rfam family "Bacterial small subunit ribosomal RNA", at positions 338 to 795 of the family's 1533-position model. The record is from RNAcentral.